This 253-nucleotide ribosomal RNA is filed under the name uncultured bacterium. RNAcentral's name for it is "partial 16S ribosomal RNA". It matches the Rfam family "Bacterial small subunit ribosomal RNA", at positions 524 to 776 of the family's 1533-position model. The record is from RNAcentral.
UACGGAGGGGGCUAGCGUUGUUCGGAAUUAUUGGGCGUAAAGGGUGCGUAGGCGGCCUGACAAGUCUGAUGUGAAAUCCCUGGGCUCAACCCAGGGCCUGCAUCGGAAACUGUCGGGCUUGAGUAUGGGAGAGGUGAGUGGAAUUUCCGGUGUAGCGGUGAAAUGCGUAGAUAUCGGAAGGAACACCUGUGGCGAAAGCGGCUCACUGGACCAUAACUGACGCUGAUGCACGAAAGCUGGGGGAGCAAACAGG